UACGGAGGGUGCAAGCGUUAAUCGGAAUUACUGGGCGUAAAGCGCGCGUAGGCGGUUUGGUAAGUGUGAUGUGAAAGCCCAGGGCUUAACCUUGGAACUGCAUCACAUACUGCCAGGCUAGAGUACGGUAGAGGGGGGUAGAAUUCCACGUGUAGCGGUGAAAUGCGUAGAGAUGUGGAGGAAUACCAGUGGCGAAGGCGGCCCCCUGGAUCGAUACUGACGCUGAGGUGCGAAAGCGUGGGGAGCAAACAGG
Molecule: ribosomal RNA, 253 nt
Filed under: uncultured bacterium
Lineage: Bacteria
Description: partial 16S ribosomal RNA
Rfam family: Bacterial small subunit ribosomal RNA
Source: RNAcentral